ACGAAGGGGGCUAGCGUUGUUCGGAAUUACUGGGCGUAAAGCGAGCGUAGGUUGCUCGACAAGUCAGUGGUGAAAGCCCAGAGCUCAACUCUGGAACUGCCAUUGAAACUGUCGAGCUGGAAUCUCAGAGGGGAUAGCGGAAUUCCAAAUGUAGGGGUGAAAUCCGUAGAUAUUUGGAGGAACACCGGUGGCGAAGGCGGCUAUCUGGAUGAGUAUUGACACUGAGGCUCGAAAGCGUGGGGAUCAAACAGGA
Molecule: ribosomal RNA, 253 nt
Filed under: uncultured prokaryote
Description: partial 16S ribosomal RNA
Rfam family: Bacterial small subunit ribosomal RNA
Source: RNAcentral